Molecule: ribosomal RNA, 773 nt
Filed under: Demodex folliculorum
Lineage: Eukaryota; Metazoa; Arthropoda; Arachnida; Trombidiformes; Demodicidae
Description: SSU rRNA
Rfam family: Eukaryotic small subunit ribosomal RNA
Source: RNAcentral
UACCUGGUUGAUCCUGCCAGUAGUCAUAUGCUUGUCUCAAAGAUUAAGCCAUGCAUGUGCAAGUACAUACCUUAUACCGCGAAAAGCUCAUUAAAUCAGUUACGGUUCAUUGGAUAUUAAUUUUUUACAUGGAUAACUGUGGUAAAUCUAGAGCUAAUACGUGCACAAAAGCUUUGACCUUUUAGGAAAAAGCGCAUUUAUUAGACCAAGACCAAUGGUCCUUGUGACCUCAAACUUGGUGACUCUGAAUAACUGAGCUAAUCGCAUGGCCUAUGCGCCGGCGAUAUAUCCUUAAAGCGUCUGCCUUAUCAACUGUAGAUGGUAGGUUAUGUGCCUACCAUGGUUGUAACAGGUGACGGGGAAUCAGGGUUCGAUUCCGGAGAGGGAGCCUGAGAAACGGCUACCACAUCCAAGGAAGGCAGCAGGCACGCAAAUUACCCACUCUCAGAACGAGGAGGUAGUGACGAAAAAUAACAAUACGGGACUAUUAAUAGGCCCCGUAAUUGGAAUGAGUACAAUAUAAAUCCUUUAACGAGGAUCUAUUGGAGGGCAAGUCUGGUGCCAGCAGCCGCGGUAAUUCCAGCUCCAAUAGCGUAUAUUAAAGUUGCUGCGUUUAAAAAGCUCGUAGUUGUAUCUCAGUUCAUGUCAAUUGGUCAAUCACUUAAUAGUGAUUACUUUUUGACUGAACAUUAAACCGAUUUGUCUUCUGAUGCUCUUUACCGGGUGUUAUUAACGAUCGGGAUCUUUACUUUGAAAAAUUAGAGUGCUCAAAG